Molecule: ribosomal RNA, 627 nt
Filed under: uncultured fungus
Lineage: Eukaryota; Fungi
Description: eukaryotic LSU rRNA
Rfam family: 5.8S ribosomal RNA (bases 232-385)
Source: RNAcentral
CUUGGUCAUUUAGAGGAAGUAAAAGUCGUAACAAGGUUUCCGUAGGUGAACCUGCGGAAGGAUCAUUAUUGAAAUAAACCUGAUGGGUUGUUUCUGGUUCUCUAGGGGGCAUGUGCACACCUUGUCAUCUUUAUAUCUCCACCUGUGCACUUUUUGUAGACCUUUCAGGUCUAUGUUGCUUCAUUUACCCCAAUGUAUGUUAAUAGAAUGUUGUGCCUAUAUAAUAUAUACAACUUUCAGCAACGGAUCUCUUGGCUCUCGCAUCGAUGAAGAACGCAGCGAAAUGCGAUAAGUAAUGUGAAUUGCAGAAUUCAGUGAAUCAUCGAAUCUUUGAACGCACCUUGCGCUCCUUGGUAUUCCGAGGAGCAUGCCUGUUUGAGUGUCAUUAAUAUAUCAACCUUCUCUUUUUUGAGUUGUUUGGAUGUGGGGGUUUGCUGGCCUCUUAAAUGAUUCAGCUCCCCUGAAAUGCAUUAGCAGAACAACCUGUUCAUUGGCGUGAUAAUUAUCUAUGCUAUUGAAUGUGAGGGCAGUUCAGCUUUCUAACCGUCCUCGGACAAUUCAUCAUUAAUGUGACCUCAAAUCAGGUAGGACUACCCGCUGAACUUAAGCAUAUCAAUAAGCGGAGGA